Molecule: long non-coding RNA, 4716 nt
Organism: Acanthochromis polyacanthus (spiny chromis)
Lineage: Eukaryota; Metazoa; Chordata; Actinopteri; Pomacentridae
Exons: 2
Source: RefSeq, a predicted model, not a curated record
UGACGCUCAUUCAGCAUCUGCAAAGAGGCAACGAGAGACUGAACCGUCAGGGAUGCAGGGAAAUAAACUGUGCAUGUAUUUUCUUGCCGAUAUAUUACGGGGAUGUUUAUGAAUUCUCAAUUAAAUGAAAAGUGAAGCCUCCCUCCACACCCACAUCACUCUAAUAUUUACAAGCUUCUUGUGCAUGUGCUGCUCCGGCUAUGAAAGGCAAAUGAUGUCUUGGAUAGCUUUGUCAAAAUCUCAUUAAACAAAAUGAAACGGCACCUCAUGGCACCAGCUGAGCACACACUAAUCCACAUAUGAGCAUGCAUACACACACACACAUGCAGUGACGCACAAAGGCACGCCCACCGCACAGAUCUGCAACACAAAACGCCCAAGAAGCACUGUUUUAAAUGCAUAAUAACUGCUGCACAGCCAGUCUGUGCAUUAGCAGCAGUUCCAGUGAGGUCAGUCGUAUCUGAAUCAACACAUCCUUUACAGAUAGCCGUCCUUACAGCUGAAAAACCAACUGCUGCCAUAGCAACUGCUGCCACAAUAUAAAUCCUGGGGAAGAGGGUGAAAAAAAUGAAAGGAGAAAUUGAGAUGAGUUCAGAGCAGACCCUCGACUCCCAGCAGACAUUAACAUUCCCAAGAGGCCUUGCAAAGCCAUCCGUUGUUCUGUCAGCGUGCAACCCACCACCCCCUCCUGCCUUAUCGCCAAUAAACCCUUCAUUAUGGAGCCAUUAACAAUGUGAUAAUACAAGCAGAUCUACUCGUCUUAUUGUGGGGAGGUGUGUGUCACGUGUAGGGGAUAAAAAAACAAUAAAUCAAUGUGCACGCAGGCAGGCGACACGGCCGGCUAUGGAGGAAACUCCAGACAUGGUCCGUCUCAGCUGUCAUCCUGCAGAUUAAAAUGUUUGAGGCUGACAGGGGUCAAGUCUGACACCCCGAAUAAACCACUUUCCUGUCAGACGUGGAGGGAAUGUCAAUCUGACAGGUCUUCAUUCACAAAAAUUCGGUUGCCAGGCAAAGUCUCUUUUCCAAAGAAGCAAAUAUUUUAGGAAAUGAUCCAAAUUCUCUUAGUCUUUUUUACAGACGCCUCCCAUGUUCAUUCAUAAUUUCCAAAUAAGAUGCUCAAUUGUUUUAAAAUUAUAAUCUCGCAUGCCUCAUUGAAAUAAGCAGUGAAUAUUAAUUUGCAUGUCUUUCUAUUUUUUAACAGGUAGAUCCUACUGCACUUUUAAAGCAGCUGCCAAUACACCAACCUGAUCAUCUCACAUAAAUAUCAGAUUCAGCGUCUUUCUGCAGUGAAAUAUCCUACAGAAGCCCUCUUUGUCAGCCAGACUCCUUUAUUUCUGUCUCUACAACUCCCCCUCCUCCUCCUCCUCCUCCUCCUCCCCCUCCUCCUCCUCCUCCUCCAGGUCUCCGUACAAAGUGCGCUACGUCUGCAGCCCAUAAACUACCGUCUGGAUUCCCUUGUGUCCUCCCUGGCAGCUUCAUUGAUUCCCUCUCUCUCCUCUCCUCUCCUGCUGAAAGAUGCAUGAGUGUACUCAGGGAGGAGGACGCUUCCAAACACUGGCCAGUAGGAGGCAGGCUUUAGCCACAUCCCCACUUAGCUUUUGAUGCUGUUUUUAGAGUACACUCAGUACCAAAAAUUUUCCAGUAGAGAGACAAGCUGAGGACCAUUACAGGGUGCAGUAUGUGUGUGCGUCUCAUUCUGUUUCUGACUUUAACCCUAAUGCUGUUUGACAGCUGCUGUGAUGGUACAUUCAUGAGACUGUGGAUGCAUAAUUGCAGUUUCUGAAAGAUACUGUGUGCUCUUAGUUGUUGCUUUUCCUUUCUCAUGGAAAUUUUUUAAGGGCAUAAUUUUAAUUUGUGAUAGCAAACUCAGGACUCUUAUUUAAUACAGCGUAUUGGCACAUUAAUAGAGUGUUACAGCCCCCAGAAUAUGCAGCUUUCUGACUGGUGGUCCCCUAAAUUUCCCUUUAAUGAAAUAUUAAGCAUCUACAGUAAGGGUUUCUAUCAGAUUUGGCACAAACAGUCAAGGUCCCUGGAGGAUAAAUCCUAAAGAUCUUGGAUCUUCUGAAUUUUGAUGUGCUUUAUGUGAUUCUGAAUGAAAUGCCAUCAGAUUUUGCAUAGUCUUUGAAGCUACCGUCAGCAUGAAAUGUAAUGAUUUUAACGAAUAUGUUUGUUUUCGACAAAAUACCUGCAAAGCGAAGCUACUUCUCAAAGCACAGCUACAUCUUAGUUUGUUCAUUCACAUGUCUACUUCAUAGAUUUCAGGAAAUUCAGGGGGAAAAAAUUAAGCUUCUAUUGAGUCAAUGUCUUGCUCAAGGACACCAACCUUUUUUAAAAACAAUCCCAUCAACCUGAUUUUGAUGAUUUUGCCCAGCCGUACCUCACCUCCUGAACAAGACUAAUUUUCAGGUUUAUUUUUAAUUUAAGUAGCAUUAUAACGCCGCACUGAUGGACUGAUGAUAUUGUGAGAUGUUUGAAUGCCUUUUCCUCCUACUGACACUUUCAGACAGCGCCCCUGCUACAAAGCUGAAGGAGAGCCUAAUUGGGCACAGAGAAGAAAGAAAAGCCUUCCUCUUUUUUAACACCAAAGAAUGGCAAAAGCACUCCAGGGCCAGUGUGAUUGAAUAGUCUCCAGAGGGAAUAGAGAUGGAAGGAGGGGGGAAAGUUUACAUGUUAGGAGGGGCGGUCAUGCUCAGUUGCUCAUUAACAAGCUGUCUGAUUAAACCCCUCGCUAAUGACUUUGUCUCGGUAAUCAAUAGUAUCUGCUCUUUAAAAAGGUCUGCACACACUGAAUGGAGCGCUGUGCUAGGAGCAGCACGGGGGUUAUCAUGGUGUACGGUGAAGGAGGUUUGAGGCGUGUUUCCCUGUAGGCGGCUGUGAGCUUCAAGGUAAAUGGAUGAAGGGUGAUGGGUCACUCUGUUCAAACAGCUGAGCUGUGUUUGCUUGUCAGAAGGAAGAAGUGCAAGUAGUAUCUGCAAACUGAUAAUUUAGCUGAACACUGACAGAGUUAUGGUUCUACAUAGAGAAGGUGUGAGAACAAAAGGUCACGAUGCACAGAAAACUUUUUUUUCAAGAUUUUUCUUUCCCACCAUACUGUUACAUUGGAAUUCCCCUAAGAGUCCGUCCCUUUCCCAGUGGCUUAGAGAAGUCAUGUUUUUUCUGAAAUUGGAGAAAAUAAAGUACACUAUCAGGGGCUCCAGGGGCGAUUUUUUUCAUAUAUGGCAACCCUUCAUAUCCCAUUUUUAUGCCAUGCACCAUUUACCCUCUGACUAAUCAGAGCGCUACCAGAGUAGAUAGUUUAGGUUUCAUCUUAUACCUAAUGGUAUCCACCCCUUCACAGUGAGGCACAUAAUGAGUGUGUGUGUGUGUGUGUGUGUGUGUGUGUGUGUGUGUGUGUGUGUGUGUGUGUAUGUGUAUGUGUGUGUGUGUGUGUGUGUGUGUGUGUGUGUGUGUGUGCGUGUGUGCGUGUACGUGUGUCUGUUCGGGGUUUGGGCUUAGGUGGUCGCUUCCAGGGCUUAUAAUUUACCAUCUCUAGGCCAGAGAUCAUACGGUACGAGUUCUGUCUGUUUUGAAAUCUAAUUUGUCACUAUGGUCAAAUAUAUAUUUAAAGUAAUAUCCAUUUCAGAGUAAUGAAUAUUGACUGGUAUAUGUAUGUGUAUACAUGUAUGUACAUAUGUGUAUGUGUAUUAUGUAUAUAUAUAUAUAUAUAUAUAUAUAUAUAUAUGUUGUUUUUUUUCGUCUACUACUACUGUACCAAUAUAUUUUCAUCUAUAUUUAUACAUAGACAUCAAUGAUUAUUGUUUUGUGAAAGCCUGGAUGUCAUACCCCAUUGUUCUAAAUAAAAGUUUAAAAAAAAAUUAUUAGUAUGGAUAAAAGGUCAUAUCAUCAAUUAUUUUCUUUCAAUAAAACUGGUCGAUUGUUUAAAAAAAAAAAAGAUUUUUCUUUCCGCAUUCAGCUAAAACUGACCAUAAACACGCAACAUGCUUUGAGUAUGACAUUUUUAUUGCCUCAGGUUUCUUUGAUGUUGUGUUCACAUGUGUGCUUUGGUGUUACUGACAGUUCUGCUGUGGAGAAACAGGUGUUCUGUGACUAAAUGGACAGUAAAGAUAUGACGUCUGUCAGCCAGUCAAAAUGUAGCUGUGACAAAGGAGCGCUGACAGCAUUGAUUUAUUAGAGAGUUUUGGCUCAAUGGGGUUUUUAAUGCAAUUAACAAAGCAUUUAAUGGGUUUCAGUCAGUGACCAACACUGUAAUACAGCCCUCAUUUAGUGGUGAAGAUUUACACUGUGAAUUUAAUCAUAUGCUGUCAGUCUGUUUCCACAGAUUCAGUUCACAGAGUCCUCACUAAACAUGCACUGAAACUGUUAUGUUUUCUCUUUCUAUAGAGCGAUGGAUGUAGAAUUCAGCUGAGUGAAAACUUCUCCUCUCACUCAAAACCCUCCUCACACAGAUGGACCUCGACUCCCGGGUUUGAACUCUUCGCUGAAGGUCUAUGUACUGAAUACAAUCAUUGUCAGCCCGGUCUUAUCCUGACCGUUGGUUGCCAAGCAACCCUGCCUCCCCUUCCUUGAGCCUUCAUACAGACGCAUACGGGUGGAGCAUGACUCAGGGAGCCUGAAAUGUACCAACGUCUCCAUCCCAGUGAUGGCAAAUCAGUCACUUUGACUCAUUGUACCUGUUGCUGAUUCAAUCACUGAUAAAUAAUUUGACUUUGCACAUCA